This 758-nucleotide ribosomal RNA is filed under the name Clostridioides difficile. RNAcentral describes it as "bacterial LSU rRNA". It matches the Rfam family "Bacterial large subunit ribosomal RNA", at positions 685 to 1451 of the family's 2925-position model. The record is from RNAcentral. Lineage: Bacteria; Bacillati; Bacillota; Clostridia; Peptostreptococcales; Peptostreptococcaceae.
UAACUGAGCGUUCAGUUACUUGACGUAGACCCGAAACCGGGCGACCUACCCAUGAGCAGGAUGAAGCGAAAGUAAAAUUUCGUGGAGGUCCGAACCCACGAGCGUAUAAAAGCUCGGGGAUGACUUGUGGGUAGCGGUGAAAUUCCAAUCGAGCCCGGAGAUAGCUGGUUCUCCCCGAAAUAGCUUUAGGGCUAGCCUCAAGGUGAGAGAUACGGAGGUAGAGCACUGAAUGUCCUAGGGGGUAUUGCACCUACCGAAGACUAUCAAACUCCGAAUGCCGUCAUCUUAUACUUGGGAGUCAGACUGUGGGUGAUAAGAUUCAUAGUCGAAAGGGCAACAGCCCAGAUCGUCAGCUAAGGUCCCUAAAUGUAAGUUAAGUGGUAAAGGAUGUGGGAUUGCAAAGACAACCAGGAUGUUGGCUUAGAAGCAGCCACUCAUUCAAAGAGUGCGUAAUAGCUCACUGGUCGAGUGAUCCUGCGCCGAAGAUUUCCGGGGCUAAAACUUACUACCGAAGCUACGGCAUCAGUAAUGAUGGGUAGGGGAGCUUCCCAUACGGGUUGAAGCAUGACCGUAAGGACAUGUGGACAGUAUGGGAGUGAGAAUGUUGGCAUGAGUAGCGAGAUGUGGGUGAGAAUCCCACAGGCCGUAAACCCAAGGUUUCCAGGGGAAGGUUCGUCCGCCCUGGGUUAGUCGGGACCUAAGCUGAGGCCGAAAGGCGUAGGUGAUGGACAACAGGUUGAUAUUCCUGUACUACCGAU